Arabidopsis thaliana (thale cress) is the source of this 225-nucleotide long non-coding RNA. RefSeq annotates it as other RNA. Lineage: Eukaryota; Viridiplantae; Streptophyta; Magnoliopsida; Brassicales; Brassicaceae. The record is from RefSeq. The transcript is spliced from 2 exons.
UUGCAACGGCGAAUUGGUGACGAGUGAUGAAUGAUGAGAGUCCACUGAGAGGUGCACAUUUAAAUUUUGUGUUGUGAAUAGUUUCGUGCACAACUAACUAAUUAAGACAAACACUCUUCUCGUGAACUGUGGUUUCCCAUCAAUGCUUAUUUUAUUUAUCUAUUUGUGGGAAGUUUCAUUUAUAUGGAUUUCAAGAUUAUACUUUUAAAUUAUGGGGAAAUAUAU